This 86-nucleotide small RNA is filed under the name Halpernia frigidisoli. RNAcentral's name for it is "Flavo-1 RNA". It matches the Rfam family "Flavo-1 RNA". Lineage: Bacteria; Pseudomonadati; Bacteroidota; Flavobacteriia; Flavobacteriales; Weeksellaceae. The record is from Rfam by way of RNAcentral.
UUUUAGCCCCGAUAGAAGUGGAAAUCCUUUUUUUCCAGAUUGGUAGAUCUAAAAAAAAAAGAUUGGAACGGAUAGCGGGUAGAUCU